AUGGGGAAGCUAGCCACCCCUGGGGAUAUUGUCCACCCACGGGGACACUGGACAUCCCUGAAGACACUCACUCCUGCACAGCUGGCACUUCUGCUCUGGGCUCCCAGCAACCCACACCACUGCGCAGGGAGAGGCCUGGGCGCAGCUGAGGGAUACACACUGACCAUCCCCUCCUGUCCAGGGCUGGACCUGGAUGAGAGCUGUGCCGAGGCCCAGGAUGGGGAGCUGGAUGGGCUGUGGACAACCAUCACCAUCUUCAUCACCCUCUUCCUGCUCAGCGUGUGCUACAGCGCCACGGUGACCCUUUUCAAGGUGAAGUGGAUCUUCUCCUCGGUGAUGGACCUGAAGCAGACCAUCGCCCCUGACUACAGGAACAUGAUCGGGCAGGGGGCUUAGAGCCUACCCCUCAAGGGCUCAGGCUUCCCAGGCCCUUGCAGGAUCCCAUCCAUCACUUCCAGCAGCUCAGCCCCAGGUCACACACUCCUCUGACCUCGCUGCCUCUCUGACCCUGUGGUUCAGUGACCAUGCGCUCCCACCCUCCCCGCUCUGGAGGACUCGUGGAUAGCAGGUGCGCCCAGCCUCAGCAGCCUGGACAUGCGCCACCCCUGGAGCAGUCUCCAUGACCCUGGCUGAGACAAGAGAUGCAGCUUCCUUCUGCAGGACAUCCCUGCCUUAUGAGCAGGGUGGUCACCCAAGAGGAGGCAGAGACCAGCAUUGGCCAUGUCCAUCUGGGUGGAGACCAGCCUUGGAGACAGCCCUGUCAACACCAGCCUCUCCAGCACAGGGCAUCUCAGAGAAACGUGAGGCUGAGACCCUCCAGAGAGACUGCUGUACUUAGCGUGGCAAACAUGAUCAGUGGCCCUCAGCAGAGGUUUAGAAAGGGCUGCUGACAGUCACCCCGAUGGACUGUACCAGCCCAAGCCUAGAGGGCCUGUGCUGGGCAUUUCUAUGGAUGGGGCCUUGAGCAAUGGUUCAUAUUUCCCUCAUGUGUCCUCUGAUGUGGACCCUGAGUACUGUCCCUCCUCGUGGCCCACAUUGCACACUGCUGGGUCCAACCCAUAGGGAUUGACCACCCCAGGCCUCUCUGUACUGGUGAUAAAGAACUGGGCUCAGGAUACUACCACCUCCCCCUGGAAGCCCAGUGCCACUCCUGGGAGGCACUCAAGGGAAGAUCUGGGCUAUCUGGUGGCUUCAGAACCACAGUAGGGGCAGAAGUGGAAGGCUGCCACCAUCCACACCUCCAGGAAGCCUGGUGGGCAGGUCACAGGCAGGCCAGACUCAGCCUUCUGGUUCUCACGGACAGAGGAGGCCCAAGAGCACCUGUCCCAACCAAGGCACAGCUUGAUGGCUGCUGAAAGCACCAGGGCUCAACCAGGCAUGUCCUACAGGACCAAUGUCCACUCCAGAUCACUGAAAGCAGGAACCCCCAGUUGGACAAGGUAUCCACAGAGAGAGCCCAAUGACCCAGGAGCCAGGGUUUGGCUGGCACUGGACAGAAGGUCCAUGUGCCAUGGUCUUAUCCAGCAUGGGGAAAAUGCCAAGCCAGACCCUCUAGUUGGAAGAAAGACACAAGUAAGAAAGGAAAGCAGACAGUACCCCGUGCUUCAGAAAAGCCCAAGGGACAGGUCGGUUCAGCUUUGUAGCUUUGUUCUGCUUGUAGUAUUCUGGAUCCUAUGAUAUCCUGUAAGUUCAUCUUUAACGGCAAUAAAACAUCCUUUAAA
Non-coding RNA from Chinchilla lanigera (long-tailed chinchilla), 1721 nucleotides. NCBI's taxonomy places the organism in Eukaryota, Metazoa, Chordata, Mammalia, Rodentia, Chinchillidae. The record is from the annotation of a RefSeq genome assembly.